This 696-nucleotide ribosomal RNA is filed under the name uncultured bacterium. Its description in RNAcentral is "bacterial SSU rRNA". It matches the Rfam family "Bacterial small subunit ribosomal RNA", at positions 9 to 694 of the family's 1533-position model. The record is from RNAcentral.
GAGUUUGAUCCUGGCUCAGAUUGAACGCUGGCGGCAGGCCUAACACAUGCAAGUCGAACGGUAACAGGAAGAAGCUUGCUUCUUUGCUGACGAGUGGCGGACGGGUGAGUAAUGUCUGGGAAACUGCCUGAUGGAGGGGGAUAACUACUGGAAACGGUAGCUAAUACCGCAUAACGUCGCAAGACCAAAGAGGGGGACCUUCGGGCCUCUUGCCAUCGGAUGUGCCCAGAUGGGAUUAGCUAGUAGGUGGGGUAACGGCUCACCUAGGCGACGAUCCCUAGCUGGUCUGAGAGGAUGACCAGCCACACUGGAACUGAGACACGGUCCAGACUCCUACGGGAGGCAGCAGUGGGGAAUAUUGCACAAUGGGCGCAAGCCUGAUGCAGCCAUGCCGCGUGUAUGAAGAAGGCCUUCGGGUUGUAAAGUACUUUCAGCGGGGAGGAAGGGAGUAAAGUUAAUACCUUUGCUCAUUGACGUUACCCGCAGAAGAAGCACCGGCUAACUCCGUGCCAGCAGCCGCGGUAAUACGGAGGGUGCAAGCGUUAAUCGGAAUUACUGGGCGUAAAGCGCACGCAGGCGGUUUGUUAAGUCAGAUGUGAAAUCCCCGGGCUCAACCUGGGAACUGCAUCUGAUACUGGCAAGCUUGAGUCUCGUAGAGGGGGGUAGAAUUCCAGGUGUAGCGGUGAAAUGCGUAGA